This 109-nucleotide ribosomal RNA is filed under the name uncultured bacterium. RNAcentral's name for it is "partial 16S ribosomal RNA". The record is from RNAcentral.
AAGAAGGCCUUCGGGUUGUAAAGCUCUGUCGGAGGGGACGAAAAUACUUAGGGUUAACAGCCCUAGGAACUGACGGUACCCUUAAAGGAAGCACCGGCUAACUCUGUGC